Long non-coding RNA from Branchiostoma floridae (Florida lancelet), 1355 nucleotides. RefSeq lists it as uncharacterized. The record is from RefSeq and is a predicted model, not a curated record. NCBI's taxonomy places the organism in Eukaryota, Metazoa, Chordata, Leptocardii, Amphioxiformes, Branchiostomatidae. The transcript is spliced from 2 exons.
AUUCUUACAUGUGUGACUUGACUUGAUGUCUUGAUGCAUGUAUAACUCUCACAUCUUACAGGGUGAGAGCCAAGUUGCUGGAUAUCUGAAUGGAUGUACAAGAGACCAGAUAGAAAGUAUGGUGCUGGCACUACAGGACCACACUGAUGACACGCUGAUUCCUCACCUAGAAGAAGUUUUGUCUGGCUCGGAGGACAAGUAUCCACGUUUGGCAGCUGCAAUAGGCAUGGAUGCAAGUUAGACCACAUCUCUACUUUAGAAACUGUCUUCAUGAUUCUGUUUCUCUAAGUUUGUAACUUUGUUCCAUCAGUUUGACACAUGUCAUUCUAAUCUUAGUUUCAAUGAAUGUAGUGGAUAUCCAUAGUAUUUUUCUUUUGAUGUUUGAACAUUUUUGUAUUAGCAGUAGUUAGCUUUAUACUUCCCUUUAGUUUUUGUACCAACAGAAGAUUAAACCUCAACAUUGCUUCACAUUGCUUCUCAUUCAGACAAGUGAUAGUUUAAUUAAGAACUUGAAUGACACUGCAAGACUUUUACUCAGACAUUCCAGCUGUGAAUUGAAGAAGCAUGUAAAAUAUUGUACUUUUCUUUCCCUUUGAUAGCUUGAAUGUCAUGUUCAAGAACUGUUGGAUUCAGACUACAUGGAAUUUUUUUUACAAAGUUUAAUGAAAUGAAAUAGCAGACGUAUCCACAUACUGAAAUGCUAGUUUAUGUCUUGAAAGAAUGACGCCUUCAGGUUUAUAUGUUUUGUCAGCUUUUUAAGUUACAGGCACUGUUUAUGUUAAGUUUUUGGUCACAUGUACUGGCAGCUCUGUUAUUGGGUUAUUUGUCUCAUACUAGUAUAUAUAUGUCAGAGUAUGGCAAAAUGAUACAGGCUACAUUUUUUUCCUUCAACUUGCAGCUAUAUAUGGUGUACUCAUUUCUCCAGCUAAAUUUCCAAAACCAGUCAUAAAGUUGACAAUGAUCAAUGAGAAAUGUGCAUAUGAAGUUACAGUUAUUAUAUACAAGAAAUAUGCAAUGUGGAUUGUUAUAAAAUGCCAAAUGUUUAUUUGUGCAAGAUACUUUUGUAAAAUACAUUUACUUCAAGACAUUAGCAUAAUUGAUGCAAAGUGAUAUUUGUUGAUAAAUCAUAGCAGCAUUUGUGCUUCAGCAAAACAAUCUCAAUGUGAAAAAUCUCAAGCAUUUUCAUUAAUAAUUUUUAUGAUCAACAACUACUACAUAUAUUUCAGAAGAUAAUGAUGCAAAUGCACAGUAAAAAUGUGUGUCACCCUUGUAAUUACCUGCAUGACAUCUUUCAUGUGCAUAUCCAUGUCUGAAGACCUUAUGAUACAUAUUACAUCUCUGUGUAAUACUAUGUA